UGUCAAUAUUCAAAAAUUUAUAGUGAAGACUGAUACAAUUUUAAUCUAGAGCUUAGAAUAGAUGUAUAUUGCGAAUUAAGUUCUUUUGAUACAAGAACCUCAUAGUAUGAAUGUCCUUGUCCCGAUUUCGAAGUUAUAACUCGUUUCAACCAACCAAAGGAUGGCAAGGCAAAUUGAAUUUUAAACUUAAUAAUGACAAAACAAUGCCAAAAAUCUCAGCAUCACGCAACUCAAACAAUCGCCGCUUCACUGAAUAGCAUAUCAUCUAAACAUAUCAACAUGCAAGCGAAUAAUUUUCUAGAUGCUAAAACGAACAAAAUACAAGGGGUUUGCUGUUGUACGGGGACCACACAGAGACAUCAACGAUAAACUAAAAUAUAAAAAAUAAACACAAGUAAUGCCAAAUGUAUGGAGUGAGACAAUGAAAACAGAAACCAGCACAAAAUAGGCAGCCAUUGGCAGUGGACGGGCUAGGGGAACCGAGGUGAUGAAGGUGGGAAGGGGCAGGGGGGUGGUGGCACUCCGAGUGGCAACCAAGUGCUACGCAUCACGAGCCGGUUGCUUCAUUUGAUUUAGCUAUAGCUACAGCUGGACGUCGGAGUCCAAAGAGUUGUCCAACGAGAUUUGCAUUUUGAUGGAUUGCAGGCGGGUAGCCGAAAGAUGUUUGCCUCGGACACGGAGCUACCUCUUGUCGGACAUGAUGUGACUAUGAGCUCGAAGCGAACAAAGCCAUGCCAUGCCAUGAAUCUCAUCGUGUCCAGCCACGGCGUGUGAUCGCGAUAAGAAUUAGCGCUCCAUACGCAGCGGCCGAGAUGAAAAGCUUUGCUUGUCUGCUCGUUGCCAACGAAAUAUUGGCUAAACGCUGUGGCUGAUACCGAGUCCGGUU
This 886-nucleotide small RNA is filed under the name Drosophila virilis. RNAcentral's name for it is "GJ26819". The record is from RNAcentral. Lineage: Eukaryota; Metazoa; Arthropoda; Insecta; Diptera; Drosophilidae.